Molecule: long non-coding RNA, 1054 nt
Organism: Rhinopithecus roxellana (golden snub-nosed monkey)
Lineage: Eukaryota; Metazoa; Chordata; Mammalia; Primates; Cercopithecidae
Exons: 2
Source: RefSeq, a predicted model, not a curated record
CCACGGAAAAUGCUCUGCGGGCGAGAGCGACUGGCAGUGGGGCUGGUUUCAAGGCAGGGAAGAGCCAUCGCGCUGCCCUCCCCCGCUGGGAUGGCGAGACAGGGCUGGCACGGCUCACGCUGUCCAGUGCUUAGAAAACCGGUAAUAGGGCAGGGCGCGCGGGCCCGAGGCGCUGCUCGCCGCAAUUUUUUGGCCCUGGGUUCCUUCAAGUGGAUCCAGCUUAUCAGUGUUUGUAGAUUUGGCUGCGUUUCGCUCCGCACUUCGGAGGAGAUGGCGUUUCAUGGGAAGAAAUGCGCUCUAGCAGAUGGCCGCCGUGGCCAGUCAGCCCUCCUGUGACGGACGAAGACGCUGGCCACAGACCUCGGCUCCAAAGAAAUUUGCACAGCCCGGCGCCCUCGGCCUGCCCAGCCCCGCGGCCGCGGCGACGCCCGUUAGGAUGUGGGCCCUGUGGGAGCGAUGCCCUUGCUGGUUCCUAACCCACGGCCUGGAACAACAGCUGGCCCGUGGCAAUGCUGAGCAAAUCUCCUGAAGGAAUGGUUUCGCCGCUCCCUACAGAAUGCCCCCGAGUUUUGUCGUAUAUACACAUACGUACUCUUUUUUUCCAAGUAUAUUUUAUUUCUUGGCAAACAUGGCCCUUUGUGGUCGCCGUGUUUCUCUCCUCCCAUCCAUUAUACAAUACUAAAUGAUCCAUCAUUUUUUUGAACAAAUCAAGCCGUUUCACACCUGCAAUGCAAUUGUACCGACCGUGCUCUUCCCUCUACUGCUGCAAUCCCCCAGGCAGAAGUCCUUUUCAUACUUCACAAAUUCCCACCCAGGCAAACUUCAAGCACCUUACCCCCUACCCCAUCCCACUCUGCCCAUCUCUAUUUGCUGUGGUCUGAACCCGCACAAAUGUCUGUGUAGUUUCUGCGCUACAUAACAAUUUAUAUGACAGUUGCUCCAGCCGUUCUGUGAACUCCUGAGGGGAAGGACCAGGUCUUGCUAGUCAUUUUAUUUCUAAUGUCUAUCAUACAGUAGAUGUUUAACAAAUGCUGUUGAAUAAUUCUGUCUCACA